GGGCCAAGUCAGUGGCGUGUCUAGGCAAGAGGCUGUUCAGAGCAGUCUUGGAAAGUGAGGAAGAAGGCUAUCCAUCAAUGCGGCUUCAAUGAGAGGUGAUUGAGGAGAAACUGAUGAAUCCAUUCUGCCUUUCCAAGAAGUUGAUGAUGCCAUGAAGAUGGUGCAUUGGCAGAGUUAGGAAACUCACAAAAACACAAGGGAAGUUCCCUUAGACUUUUAAAACUCUUUUCAAU
Molecule: long non-coding RNA, 233 nt
Filed under: Brassica rapa (field mustard)
Lineage: Eukaryota; Viridiplantae; Streptophyta; Magnoliopsida; Brassicales; Brassicaceae
Description: long non-coding RNA (BRAP_LNC008312)
Source: RNAcentral